This 152-nucleotide unclassified non-coding RNA is filed under the name soil metagenome. RNAcentral's name for it is "partial internal transcribed spacer 1". The record is from RNAcentral.
CCGAGUUUACAACUCCCAAACCCCUGUGAACAUACCACUUGUUGCCGUAUCGGCGGAUCAGCCCGCUCCCGGUAAAACGGGACGGCCCGCCAGAGGACCCCUAAACUCUGUUUCUAUAUGUAACUUCUGAGUAAGAACCAUAAAUAAAAUCA